UGUUGGUUCUCCCGCAACGCUAACUUGUCAACUUGGUCAGGUCCGGAAGGAAGCAGCCAUGGCAGGUGUCGUGUGUGCCGGGAUGUAGCUGGCAGGG
RNAcentral lists this signal recognition particle RNA (97 nucleotides) under Rahnella aquatilis. Its description in RNAcentral is "signal recognition particle sRNA small type". It matches the Rfam family "Bacterial small signal recognition particle RNA". Rfam says of the family: The signal recognition particle (SRP) is a universally conserved ribonucleoprotein involved in the co-translational targeting of proteins to membranes. Archaeal SRP consists of a 7S RNA and homologues of the eukaryotic SRP19 and SRP54 proteins. In most bacteria, the SRP consists of a 4.5S RNA and the Ffh protein (a homologue of the eukaryotic SRP54 protein). The record is from RNAcentral. Lineage: Bacteria; Pseudomonadati; Pseudomonadota; Gammaproteobacteria; Enterobacterales; Yersiniaceae. RNAcentral also lists the same sequence under 9 other names.